Molecule: ribosomal RNA, 250 nt
Filed under: uncultured bacterium
Lineage: Bacteria
Description: partial 16S ribosomal RNA
Rfam family: Bacterial small subunit ribosomal RNA
Source: RNAcentral
UACGAAGGGUCCAAGCGUUGUUCGGAAUUACUGGGCGUAAAGCGCGCGUAGGCGGGCUUGUAAGUUGAUUGUGAAAGCCCUGGGCUCAACCUGGGAAUGGCAGUCAAAACUGCAAGUCUUGAAUGUCUGAGAGGAUGGCGGAAUUCCCGGUGUAGUAGUGAAAUACGUAGAUAUCGGGAAGAACACCUGAGGCGAAGGCGGCUAUCUGGCGGUACAUUGACGCUGAGGCGCGAAAGCGUGGGGAGCAAAC